Molecule: ribosomal RNA, 253 nt
Filed under: uncultured bacterium
Lineage: Bacteria
Description: partial 16S ribosomal RNA
Rfam family: Bacterial small subunit ribosomal RNA
Source: RNAcentral
UACGAAGGGGGCUAGCGUUGCUCGGAAUCACUGGGCGUAAAGGGUGCGUAGGCGGGUCUUUAAGUCAGGGGUGAAAUCCUGGAGCUCAACUUCAGAACUGCCUUCGAUACUGGGGACCUUGAGUUCGGGAGAGGUGAGUGGAACUGCGAGUGUAGAGGUGAAAUUCGUAGAUAUUCGCAAGAACACCAGUGGCGAAGGCGGCUCACUGGCCCGAUACUGACGCUGAGGUGCGAAAGCGUGGGGAGCAAACAGG